Molecule: long non-coding RNA, 559 nt
Filed under: Sarcophilus harrisii (Tasmanian devil)
Lineage: Eukaryota; Metazoa; Chordata; Mammalia; Dasyuromorphia; Dasyuridae
Description: lncRNA (ENSSHAG00000028376.1)
Source: RNAcentral
UCUCGGCUGGGCACCUGCUCCCCAGGAGGCCGCGGCUGGAGGAAGCCCCGUCGUCCUCACGCUCUCAGGAGUCGGCCAGGUGCCGGUGUCCCCGGCACAGCUUCCACUUCUUCCAAAGGACUCCCAGCCCUGAGGAAAGGGUUCUGACAGGCAGCUUAACUCUUCGAUGCCUAAAAGCUCCCAAAUAUUAUUGGUUUGUGUUGGUGGGGAAAACGUCUUUCCUGGAAGUUCUCUAUCCUGCCGAUGACAUCACUAUUCCCACACUCGCACACAUAUCUGCGCAGUCACACACACAGAGCCUGCCCCAUCCAUGCAUCUCUAUCAACUUAAAUGCACGUCAGAGGAAGUUCACACGGACACGUUUGCACGUGGUCUACAAAUGGAGCGACAGAGAGAUGGAGAGUAAGAAAAUUCAGACUGGGGGAAGAACCUUAGACUCUGGGCCUAAAGAAGCAGGCUUCAGGUCCAGCUCUGCUACCCAGUAGCCCAAGAGGGAAAGACCAACGGCAGUGAACUCACGGCCCCCCCGCCAAUCCCCAGGCAAUGGGAUGCGAUGGAG